Molecule: long non-coding RNA, 292 nt
Filed under: Nicotiana benthamiana
Lineage: Eukaryota; Viridiplantae; Streptophyta; Magnoliopsida; Solanales; Solanaceae
Description: long non-coding RNA (NBEN_LNC015531)
Source: RNAcentral
CAUCUAGAAGGAGGGUUGAGAUGUUAUAAGAAAAUAGUAUCAUUAUUAUGGCAUUAACCUAUUGUACGUCAAAAUAGUUUGGCGAUGUGAUUAUUAAAGAACAAUAAUAAUGCAAGAAACAUAUCUUGCAUAUAAUUUUGACCAUGACCAUAAUGGUAUGACAUUCUCUUUAAAAGAGAUAUUCACCAUAUGGAUGUCAAUGAAUAUGUGGUAGUACCAAAUUAAUUGAGAACUCUGCAAGAGCCAAUUAUACUAUUUUGGAGAAACACAAUUGAUUACCAAUAAGGUAUUG